This 327-nucleotide unclassified non-coding RNA is filed under the name Hevea brasiliensis (rubber tree). The record is from RNAcentral. Lineage: Eukaryota; Viridiplantae; Streptophyta; Magnoliopsida; Malpighiales; Euphorbiaceae.
GAAGAAGGAAAAGAAAAGAAGGAAAAAGAAGCGCAGCCUGUUAGUUAUUCGUAUACAUUCUUCCACCUGAUAUUUGCCUUGGCCAGCAUGUACUCAGCAAUGCUUCUUUCGGGAUGGACCAACUCAUCCGAAAGCUCUGACCUGAUAGACGUGGGGUGGAUGUCAGUUUGGGUUCGGAUAUGCACUGAAUGGGUCACUGCUGCACUCUAUGUGUGGACCCUUUUAGCCCCAUUGCUUUUCCCUGAUCGUGAGUUCUUCUAGUAUUCUUUAUGACUUCAUAUUUCCAAUGCCCUCAAACUGUUUCCGGAGUUGUUGCAUACCCGUGCG